GAUGAACGCUGGCGGCGUGCUUAACACAUGCAAGUCGAACGGAAAGGCCCAAGCUUGCUUGGGUACUCGAGUGGCGAACGGGUGAGUAACACGUGGGUGAUCUGCCCUGCACUUCGGGAUAAGCCUGGGAAACUGGGUCUAAUACCGGAUAGGACCACUUCUUUUAUGUUGUGGUGGAAAGUUUUUUCGGUGUGGGAUGGGCUCGCGGCCUAUCAGCUUGUUGGUGGGGUAAGGGCCUACCAAGGCGUCGGCGGGUAGCCGGCCUGAGAGGGUGUACGGCCCCAUUGCGACUGCGAUACGGCCCAGACGCCUACCGUCGGCAGCAGUGGGGAAUCUUGCCGAAUGGGCGCGAGCCUGAUGCAGCGACGCCGCGUGGGGGAUGACCGCCUUCGGGUUGUGAACUCCUUUCGCUAUGGACGAAGCGUUUUGUGACGGUACCUGGAGAAGAAGCACCGGCUAACUACGUG
This 467-nucleotide ribosomal RNA is filed under the name uncultured bacterium. Its description in RNAcentral is "partial 16S ribosomal RNA". It matches the Rfam family "Bacterial small subunit ribosomal RNA", at positions 28 to 507 of the family's 1533-position model. The record is from RNAcentral.